Molecule: ribosomal RNA, 253 nt
Filed under: uncultured bacterium
Lineage: Bacteria
Description: partial 16S ribosomal RNA
Rfam family: Bacterial small subunit ribosomal RNA
Source: RNAcentral
UACAGAGGUCUCAAGCGUUGUUCGGAUUCAUCGGGCGUAAAGGGUGCGUAGGUGGCGCGGUAAGUCGGGUGUGAAAUUUCGGAGCUUAACUCCGAAACUGCAUUCGAUACUGCCGGGCUUGAGGACUGGAGAGGAGACUGGAAUUUACGGUGUAGCAGUGAAAUGCGUAGAUAUCGUAAGGAAGACCAGUGGCGAAGGCGGGUCUCUGGACAGUUCCUGACACUGAGGCACGAAGGCCAGGGGAGCAAACGGG